UACAUCGUACAGCUCGGGCUGCUGGUCAAUGUAGACGACGAUGCUCUCGAACUCGUCAGACAUGAGGUACUGGAGGGCGGCCUGCACCUCAGCAUCGUUUGCGACGUAGGUGAGGACGAUGUUGACGAUUUCGUCGACGGGAAUGAGGGCCAGGAAGUCGUUCAGGUCAUCCUGCAGGUUGCGGCUGGAUUUUUUUGCUGGGAAACGCUGGAUCAUCUUUGCACCUCGGAUGGGCU
Molecule: long non-coding RNA, 236 nt
Organism: Schistocerca gregaria
Lineage: Eukaryota; Metazoa; Arthropoda; Insecta; Orthoptera; Acrididae
Exons: 3
Source: RefSeq, a predicted model, not a curated record